UCCUCAGUAGCUCAGUGGUAGAGCGGGUCGGUUGUUAACUGACUGGUCGUAGGUUCGAAUCCUACUUGAGAAG
Molecule: non-coding RNA, 73 nt
Organism: Vitis vinifera (wine grape)
Lineage: Eukaryota; Viridiplantae; Streptophyta; Magnoliopsida; Vitales; Vitaceae
Source: Rfam